UAGGGGCCCGUUGGACCUCGAGGAUCACCUGGACCUCCUGGACCAUCAGGCCCUCAAGGAUUUCAAGGACCCCGCGGGGAAACUGGAGAACCAGGACCACCCGGUGCUCCUGGACAUGCUGGAGAAAGAGGACUUCCUGGAUUGCCUGGAAAAGAUG
Long non-coding RNA from Stegodyphus dumicola, 157 nucleotides. Lineage: Eukaryota; Metazoa; Arthropoda; Arachnida; Araneae; Eresidae. The record is from RefSeq and is a predicted model, not a curated record.